GACACGAUGGCCGAGUGGUUAAGGCGAUUGACUAGAAUUCUACAGCAGCGCGUUGUAAGAUUGGAAUCAAUUGGGAUUUUCCCGCGCAGGUUCAAAUCCUGCUCGUGUCG
This is a non-coding RNA of Borealophlyctis nickersoniae, 110 nucleotides long. NCBI's taxonomy places the organism in Eukaryota, Fungi, Chytridiomycota, Chytridiomycetes, Rhizophlyctidales, Borealophlyctidaceae. The record is from the annotation of a GenBank genome assembly.